CCUACGGGUGGCUGCAGUGGGGAAUUUUGGACAAUGGGCGCAAGCCUGAUCCAGCAAUGCCGCGUGCAGGACGAAGGCCUUCGGGUUGUAAACUGCUUUUGUACGGAACGAAACGGUCUCUCCUAAUACGAGAGGCUAAUGACGGUACCGUAAGAAUAAGCACCGGCUAACUACGUGCCAGCAGCCGCGGUAAUACGUAGGGUGCAAGCGUUAAUCGGAAUUACUGGGCGUAAAGCGUGCGCAGGCGGUUAUAUAAGACAGAUGUGAAAUCCCCGGGCUCAACCUGGGACCUGCAUUUGUGACUGUAUAGCUAGAGUACGGUAGAGGGGGAUGGAAUUCCGCGUGUAGCAGUGAAAUGCGUAGAUAUGCGGAGGAACACCGAUGGCGAAGGCAAUCCCCUGGACCUGUACUGACGCUCAUGCACGAAAGCGUGGGGAGCAAACAGGAUUAGAUACCCCGGUAGUC
RNAcentral lists this ribosomal RNA (465 nucleotides) under uncultured Albidiferax sp. RNAcentral's name for it is "bacterial SSU rRNA". It matches the Rfam family "Bacterial small subunit ribosomal RNA", at positions 338 to 795 of the family's 1533-position model. The record is from RNAcentral. Lineage: Bacteria; Pseudomonadati; Pseudomonadota; Betaproteobacteria; Burkholderiales; Comamonadaceae.